This 300-nucleotide ribosomal RNA is filed under the name uncultured Veillonella sp. RNAcentral describes it as "bacterial SSU rRNA". It matches the Rfam family "Bacterial small subunit ribosomal RNA", at positions 497 to 795 of the family's 1533-position model. Lineage: Bacteria; Bacillati; Bacillota; Negativicutes; Veillonellales; Veillonellaceae. The record is from RNAcentral.
CGGACGUAGGUACCAGCAGGCGGGGUAGUACGGAGGGGGCGAUCGUGGCUCGGAAUCACUGGGCGUAAAGCGAACGUAGGCGGUCUUUUAAGUCAGGGGUGAAAUCCUGGAGCUCAACUCCAGAACUGCCGUUGAUACUGAGAGACUUGAGGCCGGGAGAGGGGAGUGGAACUGCGAGUGUAGAGGUGAAAUUCGUAGAUAUUCGCAAGAACACCAGUGGCGAAGGCGGCUCACUGGCCCGGUACUGACGCUGAGGUGCGAAAGCGUGGGGAGCAAACAGGAUUAGAUACCCCUGUAGUC